Molecule: ribosomal RNA, 397 nt
Filed under: uncultured bacterium
Lineage: Bacteria
Description: partial 16S ribosomal RNA
Rfam family: Bacterial small subunit ribosomal RNA
Source: RNAcentral
AUACGGAGACUACGAGCGUUACUCGGAUUCACUGGGCGUAAAGGGAGCGCAGGCGGAAUGGUGUGUUAGGUGUGAAAUCUCGGGGCUUAACUUCGAAAUAGCGCCUAAAACUAUCAAUCUAGAGUCUUGGAGAGGUAAGCGGAAUUUCCGGUGUAGCGGUGAAAUGCGUAGAUAUCGGAAGGAACACCGAAGGCGAAGGCAGCUUACUGGACAGGGACUGACGCUCAUGCUCGAAAGCGUGGGGAGCGAAAGGGAUUAGAUACCCCUGUAGUCCACGCUCUAAACGUUGUACACUAGGUAUUGGAGGAAUCAUCCCCUUCAGUGCCCCAGCUAACGCGAUAAGUGUACCGCCUGAGGACUACGACCGCAAGGUUAAAACUCAAAUGAAUUGACGGGG